Molecule: ribosomal RNA, 253 nt
Filed under: uncultured bacterium
Lineage: Bacteria
Description: partial 16S ribosomal RNA
Rfam family: Bacterial small subunit ribosomal RNA
Source: RNAcentral
UACGGAGGGUGCAAGCGUUAUCCGGAUUUACUGGGUUUAAAGGGUGCGUAGGUGGUUUAAUAAGUCAGUGGUGAAAUUUACCCGCUUAACGGGCAAGCUGCCAAUGAUACUGUUAAACUUGAAUAUGGUUGAAGUAGGCGGAAUAAAUCAUGUAGAGGUGAAAUUCUUAGAGAUGAUUUAGAACACCGAUUGCGAAGGCAGCUUACUAAGCCAUUAUUGACACUGAGGCACGAAAGCGUGGGGAGCGAACAGG